RNAcentral lists this ribosomal RNA (253 nucleotides) under uncultured bacterium. Its description in RNAcentral is "partial 16S ribosomal RNA". It matches the Rfam family "Bacterial small subunit ribosomal RNA", at positions 524 to 776 of the family's 1533-position model. The record is from RNAcentral.
UACAGAGACUGCAAGCGUUAUUCGGAUUCACUGGGCGUAAAGGGUGCGCAGGCGGCCAAGUGUGUGAGGCGUGAAAGCCCGGGGCUUAACCCCGGAAUUGCACCUCAAACUACAUGGCUAGAGCAUUGGAGAGGGUAGCAGAAUUCUUGGUGUAGCGGUGAAAUGCGUAGAUAUCAAGAGGAACACCUGCGGCGAAGGCGGGUUGCUGGGCCGACACUGACGCUGAUGCGCGAAAGCCAGGGGAGCGAACGGG